UCAGGUUGAACGGGUUGUGUUUGGGUCAACCCACGAACAUUCAGAUUGUGUUUGGGUUCAUAUGUAUGACACAAUUUUCGGGUUCGGGUCUUGCUCGGGUUCGUCUAAAAUUUUUGGGUUCAGGUUGUGUUGAGCCUGUGAACACGACCCGUUUAGCACCCCUAUUUGUUCUACUACUCAGCCCUAUUUAGUCUGUGUGUGUGUCAUAUUUCAGCCCUAUUUGCAUAACUGUUUUUUUUUUCAGGGUUAUAUUAAGAACAUAACGCCAAAGGGAUGUUUUAUUUUGCUUUCUAGGAAGCUUGAUGCGAAAAUCCUCAUUUCAAACUUGUCUGACGACUUUGUCUCGAACUCCGGAACGCCUGCAAAUCAUGGUUCUGAUUCAUUCGAGAAUAAUUCCUAAUCUGAUGAGGAAACGCCUUUUGAGGUCCAGGAGCCACUGAUUCUGUCUGGGAAUGGGAAUCAUCCAAUGUUAGCGGAAGUGGAAUCAAGGGCUUUCGGUCCUUCCGCUUGACGUUUCGUUGGAUGAAACCUCGGUGCUCAAAGGGCUAUUGGUUUGGGUGGCACUGAAGCUGCCAUUAUUCCUAUUAGUUUGGGUGGUUUUGUGGCGUGCAGGGCCCUUUCUCAGAGAAAUAAAUGAUGACCCCCAAACGGUUUUGUCAUGGGUGAAGGUGCUGGUGUGUUGGUGAUGGAGAGCCUAGAACAUGCAAUGAAAAGGGGUGCACCAAUAAUUGCCGAAUACUUGGGCGGGGCGGUUAAUUGUGACGCUUAUCAUAUGACUGAUCCACGAUCCGACGGUCUUGGUGUUUCUUCUUGUAUUCAAAGCAGCCUUGAAGAUGCUGGUGUGUCACCAGAGGAGGUAAUAUUUUCAAUAUAAUAUAUAAAAAUAAUUUUGUUAAAACAUAAAAUAUAAUUAUGUUACAUUAUGUGAACAUAAGCUAACUACAAAAAUGCAUACGCAACGUUAACAUUGGUUGGUGAUCUGGCGGAGGUAAAUGCUAUAAAGAAGGUGUUCAAAAUCACUGACGGGAUUAAAAUGAAUUCAACCAUGUCUAUGAUUGGACACUGCCUAGGUGCAGCCGGAGGUCUAGAAGCCAUUGCUACGGUCAAAGCUAUUCAAACAGGAUGGUUGCAUCCCACCAUAAAUCAAUUUGUAAGGUAAAGAGCUUGAAAACAAGAGAAGAAUAUAAGAAAACCAUGUUGAAGACAGAUAAUUAUUAGACCAUGCGUAGUGUUAGCUCAAUAAUGUCUCCCUACCAUGGGGCGUUUUCUGCCAUGUGACAGUCCAGUUAGCAUGGGGGCAUUAUUGGGCGUUAUUGCAAAAGUGCCGUAGUGGGAAUAAUGCCCAAUAACGCCCCUUCCAAUCAUCAAAC
Molecule: long non-coding RNA, 1370 nt
Organism: Helianthus annuus (common sunflower)
Lineage: Eukaryota; Viridiplantae; Streptophyta; Magnoliopsida; Asterales; Asteraceae
Exons: 4
Source: RefSeq, a predicted model, not a curated record